CCUACGGGCGGCAGCAGUGGGGAAUAUUGGACAAUGGGCGAAAGCCUGAUCCAGCCAUGCCGCGUGUGUGAAGAAGGCCUUCGGGUUGUAAAGCACUUUCAGUGGGGAAGAAAGCCUUGGGGCUAAUACCCUCGAGGAAGGACAUCACCCACAGAAGAAGCACCGGCUAACUCCGUGCCAGCAGCCGCGGUAAUACGGAGGGUGCGAGCGUUAAUCGGAAUUACUGGGCGUAAAGCGCGCGUAGGCGGUCUGAUAAGCCGGUUGUGAAAGCCCCGGGCUCAACCUGGGAACGGCAUCCGGAACUGUCAGGCUAGAGUGCAGGAGAGGAAGGUAGAAUUCCCGGUGUAGCGGUGAAAUGCGUAGAGAUCGGGAGGAAUACCAGUGGCGAAGGCGGCCUUCUGGACUGACACUGACGCUGAGGUGCGAAAGCGUGGGUAGCAAACAGGAUUAGAUACCCCGGUAUC
Molecule: ribosomal RNA, 464 nt
Filed under: Vreelandella stevensii
Lineage: Bacteria; Pseudomonadati; Pseudomonadota; Gammaproteobacteria; Oceanospirillales; Halomonadaceae
Description: partial 16S ribosomal RNA
Rfam family: Bacterial small subunit ribosomal RNA
Source: RNAcentral